RNAcentral lists this ribosomal RNA (253 nucleotides) under uncultured bacterium. RNAcentral describes it as "partial 16S ribosomal RNA". It matches the Rfam family "Bacterial small subunit ribosomal RNA", at positions 524 to 776 of the family's 1533-position model. The record is from RNAcentral.
UACGGGGGGGGCAAGCGUUGUUCGGAAUUACUGGGCGUAAAGGGCUCGUAGGCGGCCAACUAAGUCAUACGUGAAAUCCCUCGGCUUAACCGGGGAACUGCGUCUGAUACUGGAUGGCUUGAGAUUGGGAGAGGGAUGCGGAAUUCCAGGUGUAGCGGUGAAAUGCGUAGAUAUCUGGAGGAACACCGAUGGCGAAGGCAGCCUUCUGGGCCAACACUGACGCUCAUGCACGAAAGCGUGGGGAGCAAACAGG